Molecule: long non-coding RNA, 712 nt
Organism: Solea solea (common sole)
Lineage: Eukaryota; Metazoa; Chordata; Actinopteri; Pleuronectiformes; Soleidae
Exons: 2
Source: RefSeq, a predicted model, not a curated record
AUCUAGACAUCCUUAGUAUAACCCUGUAGGGGGCAGUGUUUCCCCAAGAGUGUUUGUUUCCCGUGAUCCUAAGUGAGGUAUCGCAUGAAGUCUGGACUUGUAUGCGACGUCACUUUCAUUCAGAUAGGAGGAGAUAAUUGAAGACACGAGGGAAGCGAUAGCAAACAAAAAGCAUACAGCUGCAGAUGAAGAAACUGUGAGCUGAGGAUAACUUCCAUUUAUGGGAAUUUAUGCUGAUGGAAUCUCCGGUUGUUUUUUUUUGCCAAAGCAAUAGAGAGAGAAGACUUCGAUGGCGAGCCAGCCCAGUGAUUCUGAGAAAGAGAGAGAGUUCGAGAUACGGUGUGGCCAGCCGUAGAACCCAUCUUGACGAAUCCAGAUCAUCUGAACUACAAUCCUUGAAGACUUCAGAUCAUCUUACAUAUUCUUCAUACAGAUAAGACACACUUACUCCUCACCUGCCCGGGUAGUAGUAGCAGCAUUUGACAUAAACACAAAACACUUACACACACAUUUGGGAUCCCUCUUUUCUUUUAUCUAUUUGUUUUCCUCUUUUAUUUGGAAAUGGGACUUCGAGUUGAAAGCUCGAACUAAAUGGACCCUUGGUUUUCUUUAUUUGGUGGCGCCUUAUUUUCUUUUGUGUAAAUGCACAGCCAAGCUGUCAAUGUUAAUUGAUUGUUGUGCACUGACAUUAAAGUGUCGUCUGUUCAAUUCA